Molecule: small RNA, 76 nt
Filed under: Vibrio sp. S234-5
Lineage: Bacteria; Pseudomonadati; Pseudomonadota; Gammaproteobacteria; Vibrionales; Vibrionaceae
Description: isrK
Rfam family: isrK Hfq binding RNA
Source: RNAcentral
GCACUGGCAAAAUCCAGUGCCGGACGUGGAAAUCCGAAUUGCAAGGCGCAUAGUCGCCAACACAUGUUGGUUUUUU